UAGCAAAUAGUUGAGCAUAUCAAAGAUAGCAAAUAGUUCAACAUAACCAACACAAGUUUUGAAGUUCAAACACCAAGUUCGACAUGCCCGGAUACUAGAAGGGAAGCAAGUGACCAUUAUCACUUCCUACCCUCUUGGAUCCACGCUCCUCGUUUCUCUUUGAGUGACCCUCGUUUCUUUCUUUCAUUGUUCAACGACGAGGAAACUCUUUCUAGAGCGGUGAUGGACUCCAAAUCUUCUUGUGUUGAUGAAACUUCCUUUUGUUCUGGGUUGGCUAAGUGGGUGGAUAUCCGUCAUCCUCAUCGCACUCCUCCUCGUCACCCUUGUCGUACCCCUCCUCGUCACCCUCAUCACUUCCCUCAGCUUCCUCAACAUCCUCAUCUUCCUCGGGCUCAUCCACAUGGCGAGACGACGAGGUGGCACAGCUAGAGAAGUUGCGCCGGCAUGGUGAGACGACGAAGUGGCACAACUAGAGGAAGCUGCGAUAGCAUGGCUCGAGGAAGCGACGAUAUGUCAAAAACACGAUAUGGAUCAAGGUUAUGGUUACUUCAAGGUUAUGGCUAGGCUCAAACUUACUUUCAUCACUUCCCUCAACGCCGAGUCAGAUUCCACACAUCCAUGAAACAAUACAACAUAUCCACACAUCAUC
RNAcentral lists this long non-coding RNA (649 nucleotides) under Triticum aestivum (bread wheat). RNAcentral's name for it is "long non-coding RNA (TAES_LNC023676)". The record is from RNAcentral. Lineage: Eukaryota; Viridiplantae; Streptophyta; Magnoliopsida; Poales; Poaceae.